UACGUAGGGGGCUAGCGUUGUCCGGAAUCAUUGGGCGUAAAGCGCGCGUAGGCGGCCCUGUUAGUCCGCUGUAAAAGUCAAAGGCUCAACCUUUGAAUGCCGGUGGAUACUGCAGGGCUAGAGUCCGGAAGAGGCGAGUGGAAUUCCUGGUGUAGCGGUGAAAUGCGUAGAUAUCAAGAGGAACACCUGCGGCGAAGGCGGGUUGCUGGGCCGACACUGACGCUGAUGCGCGAAAGCGUGGGGAGCAAACAGG
RNAcentral lists this ribosomal RNA (253 nucleotides) under uncultured bacterium. Its description in RNAcentral is "partial 16S ribosomal RNA". It matches the Rfam family "Bacterial small subunit ribosomal RNA", at positions 524 to 776 of the family's 1533-position model. The record is from RNAcentral.